GAUGAACGCUGGCGGCGUGCCUAAUACAUGCAAGUCGAGCGAACAGACGAGGAGCUUGCUCCUCUGACGUUAGCGGCGGACGGGUGAGUAACACGUGGAUAACCUACCUAUAAGACUGGGAUAACUUCGGGAAACCGGAGCUAAUCCCGGAUAAUAUAUUGAACCGCAUGGUUCAAUAGUGAAAGACGGUUUUGCUGUCACUUAUCGAUGGAUCCGCGCCGCAUUAGCUAGUUGGUAAGGUAACGGCUUACCAAGGCAACGAUGCGUAGCCGACCGGAGAGGGUGAUCGGCCACACUGGAACUGGGACACGGUCCAGACUCCUACGGGAGGCAGCAGUAGGGUAUCGUCCGCAGUGGGCGAAAGCCUGACGGAGCAACGCCGCGUGAGUGAUGAAGGUCUUCGGAUCGUAAAACUCUGUUAUUAGUGAAGAACAAAUGUGUAAGUAACUAUGCACGGCUUGACGGUACCUAAUCAGAAAGCCACGGCUAACUACGUG
RNAcentral lists this ribosomal RNA (497 nucleotides) under uncultured bacterium. RNAcentral's name for it is "partial 16S ribosomal RNA". It matches the Rfam family "Bacterial small subunit ribosomal RNA", at positions 28 to 507 of the family's 1533-position model. The record is from RNAcentral.